UAGGGAAUUUUCCCCAAUGGGCGCAAGCCUGAGGGAGCAACGCCGCGUGCAGGACGACGGCCUUCGGGUUGUAAACUGCUUUUGCGUGGGACGAUAACGACGGUACCACGCGAAUCAGCCCCGGCUAACUCUGUGCCAGCAGCCGCGGUAAUACAGAGGGGGCAAGCGUUGUUCGGAAUUACUGGGCGUAAAGCGCACGUAGGCGGACCAGUCAGUCAGAGGUGAAAUCCCGGGGCUCAACCUCGGAACUGCCUUUGAUACUGCUGGUCUCGAGUUCGAGAGAGGUGAGUGGAAUUCCGAGUGUAGAGGUGAAAUUCGUAGAUAUUCGGAGGAACACCAGUGGCGAAGGCGGCUCACUGGCUCGAUACUGACGCUGAGGUGCGAAAGCGUGGGGAGCAAACAGGAUUAGAUACCCGCGUAGUCC
RNAcentral lists this ribosomal RNA (424 nucleotides) under uncultured prokaryote. Its description in RNAcentral is "bacterial SSU rRNA". It matches the Rfam family "Bacterial small subunit ribosomal RNA", at positions 355 to 796 of the family's 1533-position model. The record is from RNAcentral.